ACGGGAAUUCCAGAGCGGUCAAAUGGGCUGGUCUCCAAAACCAGCGGCGCAAGCCUUCGGGGGUUCGAAUCCCUCUUCCCGUG
Molecule: transfer RNA, 83 nt
Filed under: Caulobacter phage CcrColossus
Lineage: Duplodnaviria; Heunggongvirae; Uroviricota; Caudoviricetes; Jeanschmidtviridae
Rfam family: tRNA
About the family: Transfer RNA (tRNA) molecules are approximately 80 nucleotides in length. Their secondary structure includes four short double-helical elements and three loops (D, anti-codon, and T loops).
Source: Rfam by way of RNAcentral